UACGAAGGGUGCAAGCGUUAAUCGGAAUUACUGGGCGUAAAGCGCGCGUAGGCGGUUCAGCAAGUUGAAGGUGAAAUCCCCGGGCUCAACCUGGGAACUGCCUCCAAAACUACUGAGCUAGAGUACGGUAGAGGGUAGUCGAAUUUCCUGUGUAGCGGUGAAAUGCGUAGAUAUAGGAAGGAACACCAGUGGCGAAGGCGACUACCUGGACUGAUACUGACACUGAGGUGCGAAAGCGUGGGGAGCAAACAGG
RNAcentral lists this ribosomal RNA (253 nucleotides) under uncultured bacterium. RNAcentral describes it as "partial 16S ribosomal RNA". It matches the Rfam family "Bacterial small subunit ribosomal RNA", at positions 524 to 776 of the family's 1533-position model. The record is from RNAcentral.